AACGUGCUCCGGGGUCGGUGAGAGUCCGAACCGGCGGUCAUAGUCCGCGAGCGGGCGGCGUGCGAACGCCUCCUGCUGAACCGGUGGAAUUCCGGUACCGACGGUAAUGCGUGCAGGCUCAGGCCCGUGCGCUCAGUCCGGAUGGGAGGCAGCACGAA
Molecule: non-coding RNA, 158 nt
Filed under: Leifsonia aquatica
Lineage: Bacteria; Bacillati; Actinomycetota; Actinomycetes; Micrococcales; Microbacteriaceae
Also listed under: 1 other name
Description: FMN sequence
Rfam family: FMN riboswitch aptamer (RFN element)
About the family: The RFN element is a highly conserved domain that is found frequently in the 5'-untranslated regions of prokaryotic mRNAs that encode for flavin mononucleotide (FMN) biosynthesis and transport proteins. This element is a metabolite-dependent riboswitch that directly binds FMN in the absence of proteins.
Source: RNAcentral